AUUUUCUUUCAACUUUUUUUUAUUUAGGAUUGACAAUCUAAUUUGUUGUUUGCAUGUCAGCUCGUGUUCAACUUAUUAAUAAAUAAGCCGAAUACGAGCUAAAUUUUUCAAUUCAAUAUUUUAAUGAGCUAGCUCAUGUUUGACUCAUCUAUAAAUGAGCGAACACGAGCCGAACCUAGGUCGUUCAUGUUCCGCUGUUUGACAGCCCCGG
This 211-nucleotide long non-coding RNA is filed under the name Ananas comosus (pineapple). RNAcentral describes it as "long non-coding RNA (ACOM_LNC024721)". The record is from RNAcentral. Lineage: Eukaryota; Viridiplantae; Streptophyta; Magnoliopsida; Poales; Bromeliaceae.